CCGCGAUUCGCCCUUCGGGGUGCAGCAGGCGCGAAACCUUUGCCAUGCGCGAAAGCGUGACAGGGGAAUUCCGAGUGGUAGGGGGGUUUACCUCCCUAUCUUUUGGCCAAUCCAAACAAUUGGCAGAAUAAGAUCUGGGUAAGACCAGUGCCAGCCGCCGCGGUAAUACUGGCAGAGCAAGUGGUAUCCACGAAUAUUGGGUCUAAAGAGUCCGUAGCGGGCCUGUUAAGUCCACUGUGAAAUCUGGCGGCUCAACCGUCAGGCGUGCAGUGGAUACUGGCAGGCUUGGGAGUGGGGGAGGUCGGGAGUACUCACGGGGUAACGGUAAAAUGUUGUAAUCCUGUGAGGACUACCAGUGGCGAAGGCGCCCGACCAAAACACGUCCGACCGUGAGGGACGAAGGCUAGGAGAACGAAUCGGAUUAGAUACCCGAGUAGCCCUAGCAGUAAAUUAUGCAGACUGUGGUGUUGCGUCGACUUCGAGUCGGCGCAGUGCUGUAGCGUAGGUGUUAAGUCUGCCACCUGGGGAGUACGACCGCAAGGCUGAAACUUAAAGGAAUUGGCGGGGGAGCAC
Molecule: ribosomal RNA, 573 nt
Filed under: uncultured archaeon
Lineage: Archaea
Description: bacterial SSU rRNA
Rfam family: Archaeal small subunit ribosomal RNA
Source: RNAcentral